AUUGAACGCUGGCGGCAUGCUUUACACAUGCAAGUCGAGCGGCAGCGCGGGGGCAACCCUGGCGGCGAGCGGCGAACGGGUGAGUAAUAGAUAGGAACGUGUCCGGGAGGUGGGGGAGUAACUAGCCGAAAGGUUAGCUAAUACCGCAUAUUCUGUGCGCAGGAAAGCGGGGGACCGUGAGAGGGCCUCGCGCUUCUGGAGUGGCCUAUCUCCGAUUAGCUAGUUGGGAGGUAAAGGCUUACCAAGGCGACGAUCGGUAGCUGGUCUGA
RNAcentral lists this ribosomal RNA (269 nucleotides) under uncultured bacterium. RNAcentral describes it as "partial 16S ribosomal RNA". It matches the Rfam family "Bacterial small subunit ribosomal RNA", at positions 30 to 295 of the family's 1533-position model. The record is from RNAcentral.